This 1428-nucleotide ribosomal RNA is filed under the name uncultured organism. RNAcentral's name for it is "16S ribosomal RNA". It matches the Rfam family "Bacterial small subunit ribosomal RNA". The record is from RNAcentral.
CAGGCUUAACACAUGCAAGUCGAGGGGCAUCAGGAAGAAAGCUUGCUUUCUUUGCUGGCGACCGGCGCACGGGUGAGUAACACGUAUCCAACCUGCCCUUUACUCGGGGAUAGCCUUUCGAAAGAAAGAUUAAUACCCGAUAGCAUAAUGAUUCCGCAUGGUUUCAUUAUUAAAGGAUUCCGGUAAAGGAUGGGGAUGCGUUCCAUUAGGUUGUUGGUGAGGUAACGGCUCACCAAGCCUUCGAUGGAUAGGGGUUCUGAGAGGAAGGUCCCCCACAUUGGAACUGAGACACGGUCCAAACUCCUACGGGAGGCAGCAGUGAGGAAUAUUGGUCAAUGGGCGCUAGCCUGAACCAGCCAAGUAGCGUGAAGGAUGAAGGCUCUAUGGGUCGUAAACUUCUUUUAUAUAAGAAUAAAGUGCAGUAUGUAUACUGUUUUGUAUGUAUUAUAUGAAUAAGGAUCGGCUAACUCCGUGCCAGCAGCCGCGGUAAUACGGAGGAUCCGAGCGUUAUCCGGAUUUAUUGGGUUUAAAGGGAGCGUAGGUGGACUGGUAAGUCAGUUGUGAAAGUUUGCGGCUCAACCGUAAAAUUGCAGUUGAUACUGUCAGUCUUGAGUACAGUAGAGGUGGGCGGAAUUCGUGGUGUAGCGGUGAAAUGCUUAGAUAUCACGAAGAACUCCGAUUGCGAAGGCAGCUCACUGGACUGCAACUGACACUGAUGCUCGAAAGUGUGGGUAUCAAACAGGAUUAGAUACCCUGGUAGUCCACACAGUAAACGAUGAAUACUCGCUGUUUGCGAUAUACAGUAAGCGGCCAAGCGAAAGCAUUAAGUAUUCCACCUGGGGAGUACGCCGGCAACGGUGAAACUCAAAGGAAUUGACGGGGGCCCGCUCAAGCGGAGGAACAUGUGGUUUAAUUCGAUGAUACGCGAGGAACCUUACCCGGGCUUAAAUUGCAGUGGAAUGAUGUGGAAACAUGUCAGUGAGCAAUCACCUCUGUGAAGGUGCUGCAUGGUUGUCGUCAGCUCGUGCCGUGAGGUGUUGGCUUAAGUGCCAUAACGAGCGCAACCCUUAUCUUUAGUUACUAACAGGUCAUGCUGAGGACUCUAGAGAGACUGCCGUCGUAAGAUGUGAGGAAGGUGGGGAUGACGUCAAAUCAGCUCGGCCCUUACGUCCGGGGCUACACACGUGUUACAAUGGGGGGUACAGAAGGCAGCUAGCGGGUGACCGUAUGCUAAUCCCAAAAUCCUCUCUCAGUUCGGAUCGAAGUCUGCAACCCGACUUCGUGAAGCUGGAUUCGCUAGUAAUCGCGCAUCAGCCUCGGCGCGGUGAAUACGUUCCCGGGCUUUGUACACUCCGCCCGUCAAGCCAUGGGAGCCGGGGGUACUUGAAGUACGUAACCGCAAGGAUCGUCUUAGGGUAAAACUGGUGA